AGCGAGAUAGUGUAAAGGUUCGCACACCAGCCUCAUGAGCUGUUAGAUUGGGUUCAAUUCCUAAUCUCGCUA
RNAcentral lists this transfer RNA (72 nucleotides) under Amanita phalloides. Its description in RNAcentral is "tRNA-Met". It matches the Rfam family "tRNA". From Rfam's summary of the family: Transfer RNA (tRNA) molecules are approximately 80 nucleotides in length. Their secondary structure includes four short double-helical elements and three loops (D, anti-codon, and T loops). Lineage: Eukaryota; Fungi; Basidiomycota; Agaricomycetes; Agaricales; Amanitaceae. The record is from RNAcentral.